CUCCAGUCAACCCAAAAACCCUCCACCCCCACAUUUCUCGUUCAAAUAAAUCCGUUCCACCUCUACCAAUCUCUCUCUCUUUCUCUCUUCUCUAAAUUACAUGGCAUUAUCUUCUCUACCACGGUGCUGUUUUUCAGUCCAUUUGUUGUUGGAGACCCAAUCCAAAUAUCCAACUCACUACACAUACUAUGCAUUCUUGGGCAUUCCUCAGAACAUCCUCAUUCUCAUCCUCAUCCUCACCCUCCAUCUCUCGAUUCCUUUCAGCUCAACGCAACGCUAGUCGUCCGAUCUUCACCCAAUCAAACGGCUCGUCCUCAUCCUCUUGUGGAUCCAGCAAUAGCAAUGGUGGUGGUGGAGGGAACAAGAAGAGGGGUUGCUCGAAUUCAGAUUUAGAGUCGAUUCUGAGAUCGAUCUCUUCGGUGAUCUUCGUAGUGGUUGGGUCGAGCCUAGGGCUUUCUUACUGGCCUUCUCUUUCUGAUUCUAAUUCUUUUUUGUCUUUCGCCGAUUCGCGAGGCCAGAAUGCGAAUGCAGAGCCUGAGCACAAAUCCAACUUCUUAUUUGGAGAUGCAUAUAGGAGAAAGGUUUUCUUUAAGUAUGAAAAACGCAUAAGAACACGAAGUCCUCCUGAAAAGGUUUUUGAGUACUUUGCCUCAAUCCAAACCCCAAGUGGGGAGGUACUUAUGACGACGGUAGACUUGAUGCGUGCAGUUGUCCAUGUAUUUCCUCCCUCUGAAUCAAAUCGUAUUAGAGAGGGAUAUCUCAAAGGGGAAUGGAUUCCUAUCGAGUUACAUUGUGCUCCUUCAAUAUUUUUUAUGCUUUUUGAUACCGACAACGAUGGACUUAUAUCAUUUGCAGAAAUGUUGAGAUGAACUUUGGGGGGGCUCACACAUACUCUUUAAUGCCAAAUUCAAACUAUGCACUACACAUGGUGUCCAGAAAAUAUCAGAGGCAUAGAACAUACGAGCAGCUUGUUUAUCAGCAAUGUCUCUUUCUGCCACAUUAAAUGCAGCUGCCAAAGGUCUUGAAAUUGAACCAUUUCUUUUUUUAUUUUGAAACAAGUUUGAUCCUUCAGGUAGAGAUACAUAAUCUGUUUUUUUUUCUUGCAUCUAAAUGUUGUCGAGCUCUUCUUUUUUCUAUCACUUCAUGCUCCUUUUUGAGUGUUUCAAAAACAUCAUCCUUUAUAGCUUUGCAGGCUUCCACUCCACAGUUAGGAAACUUCAACAAAUGAGUGUUGACUUUUGAAUAUGAACCUGUUACUUUCUUAUUGCAAUAGUUGCAGGACCAACAUCUAUUUCCACCCCCCACCUACUGGUAUGCUAAGAACCUUAACAUGAUUCCACAAUGGUUUAUCAUCAAACUCAAUUCCUUGAGGUUUCGCUGGACGUAGUACUACAGAUUUUCCUUUUCCCUUCUGCUUUUCCUUGCAAGUAGAUUUUUAGGAUGACAUUAUUUAUACCUGUAGGAGCAUAUGUAUGUACAAAAAAUAUAGAGUAACAGAGCCUUUAUGAUUAUGAUAUGACAUUAAUUUUUUCAGGAUGACAUUAAUUUUUUUGUGUUAAAUUUUUGUGAAAUUAAUUGAAAAAUAAGAACAAAUUUUCAAAAAUUCAAACAAACAGCCUUUAUGAUUAUUAUAUGAAAGUUAUGUGAAAUCAAAGUACCAGUACUUCGUUGGUGUUAUUAAACUUGAGGGGAAAGAAAUAAGUAAGAGAAAGAAUUAAAACAUGUCUUUGCUUGAUUUUUCUAAUAUACCUUUUAAUUUUUGCAGGUAGUUGCAGAAGCUUUAAAAUCCUUCUCUCUGAAAUGGGAAGUAGAGGUGUUGAAAAAUCUAAAAAUCUCCUAGAUGUUGAUUUGUGAUUAUGUAUCAAUUUUAAACAGUAUAUAACAAUCCCAAUCAAACAAU
Molecule: non-coding RNA, 1900 nt
Organism: Camellia sinensis
Lineage: Eukaryota; Viridiplantae; Streptophyta; Magnoliopsida; Ericales; Theaceae
Source: RefSeq, a predicted model, not a curated record